RNAcentral lists this ribosomal RNA (76 nucleotides) under Synura sphagnicola. RNAcentral describes it as "partial 26S ribosomal RNA". It matches the Rfam family "Eukaryotic large subunit ribosomal RNA", at positions 1 to 75 of the family's 3401-position model. The record is from RNAcentral. Lineage: Eukaryota; Synurophyceae; Synurales; Mallomonadaceae.
CGGACCUCCAAUCAGGCAAGACCACCCGCUGAAUUUAAGCAUAUAACUAAGCGGAGGAAAAGAAACUAACCAGGAU